Regulatory RNA element from Halobacillus halophilus DSM 2266, 102 nucleotides. It matches the Rfam family "Purine riboswitch aptamer". From Rfam's summary of the family: Riboswitches are metabolite binding domains within certain messenger RNAs that serve as precision sensors for their corresponding targets. The record is from Rfam. Lineage: Bacteria; Bacillati; Bacillota; Bacilli; Caryophanales; Bacillaceae.
AAAUUAGACGCAUUCUUCCUUCGUAUAUCCUCGAGAAUAUGGCUCGAGAGUCUCUACCGGGGCACCGUAAAUGUCCUGACUAUGAAGGUGGGGAUCACGUGA